Molecule: ribosomal RNA, 402 nt
Filed under: bacterium
Lineage: Bacteria
Description: partial 16S ribosomal RNA
Rfam family: Bacterial small subunit ribosomal RNA
Source: RNAcentral
UGGGGAAUUUUGCACAAUGGGGGAAACCCUGAUGCAGCGACGCCGCGUGAUUUAGAAGGCCUUCGGGUUGUAAAAAUCUUUUUUACGGGAUGAACAUGACAGUACCGUAAGAAUAAGGUCCGGCUAAAUACGUUCCAGCAGCCGCGGUAAUACGUAUGGACCGAGCGUUGUCCGGAAUCAUUGGGCGUAAAGGGUACGUAGGCGGCCUAGUAAGUUAGAAGUGAAAUAAUAUAGCUCAACUAUAUAAAGCUUUUAAAACUGCUAGGCUUGAGAGAUGGAAGGGAAAGUGGAAUUCCUAGUGUAGCGGUGAAAUGCGCAGAUAUUAGGAAGAAUACCGGUGGCGAAGGCGACUUUCUGGUCAUCAUCUGACGCUGAGGUACGAAAGCGUGGGUAGCAAGCAGG